This 5050-nucleotide long non-coding RNA is filed under the name Sus scrofa (pig). Its description in RNAcentral is "lncRNA (ENSSSCG00015035128.1)". The record is from RNAcentral. Lineage: Eukaryota; Metazoa; Chordata; Mammalia; Artiodactyla; Suidae.
ACUGACCACACAGACAGUAAAGGGAUAAUAAUAAAAUUAUGAAAAAAUUACACCAAUAAACUAGACAACUUAGAGGAAAUGGUCAUAUUACUUAAAGAACAUUACUUAUCAGAACUAAGUCGAGGAAAACUAGAAAAUAUAUGAAUAGCCCUGUAUCUGUUAAAAGAAUUGAAUUUGUAUUUUGUCUUCUCUCAGAGAAAGAGCCAGACCCAAAGGGUUUUAUUAGUGUAUUAGUUAACAUACUUAGAGAAAACACUCUCUAACGUACUUUAUGAAGCAAGAAUAAACAUGGCUGUAAUUUUUUUUUAUUUUUAAAUUCUUUUGCCAUUCUUUUCUAUUUUACUCUUCUUCCCCCUCCUCAUUUCUUGAGUUCUUGAUUCUUUUUUAUGUGCUGGACUCUGAUCAUUGCAUUCCCUCCCUAAAAAUUGUUAGCUGUGCAGCUAAUCCUUCUACAGUCUCUUCUAGAAGUCCAAGAACUUUGGGGAAAAAUGAUCCCCAACCCUUGUUUAAUCUCCUUGCAUCUCUAUAUUUCUUAUCAGCUCUCUUAUCUUCAAGCAGAUUUUUAGAAGGCAUUUACACUUAUUUUAAUCUCAUUGGAAUGCCAGUCAAAAUUGCUUACUCUAUGGUUGGUGCUUUUAUGUUGAUUAAUUAUUAAAUAUGUAUGUAGUUUUCCCUUCUUCUUGUUCUUCUCUUUUAUUGAUUGAUAUUUAUAGGUGAAUUUAUUUCUGUAGACGAAUUAGUCAAUUGGGAAUGAGUGAUUGAUGUGUAAACUUUAUUCUGAAACUAAUGUGGUAGUGAGUUGUACUAACAGGUCCGUCUCAAACCACACACUAUAGUUUAUUGCUGUUUACUUUCUUUCACUCUUAUUAUGGUAUUUUGCUUCAUGUUCAUGAAGCCACUAAAUAUUCUAGGCAUGACCGUACUUAGAUUUUAUUUUAUUUUAUGCUUCUUGUUUGACAGAAUGGGAGGGUGCUAUUCCGUAGCUUGAGGAGUGUUAGGUUUCAUCUUUUCAAACUCCCCUUCUAUCAUCUUCAGAGAUGAUCUCUUCCAGGAAGCUUUCAACCAGGCAAUUGACAAGAAAGAGGGAUAGGAAAUGGAAACUUCUCAUUUGUAUUAUGAGUUGAUUGUUCUAUCUUCAUCCUGAGUAAUCUACCAGUAAACUUGUCUUUUAAAAAGUUGAUGUAUAUGACCGACCACAAUAAAACCAUAAUCCUCAAGGUUCCUAAGAAGACAUUAGAGAAGUAAAGAGAAAUACAGUAUGCAGUUUAAUGCUAUGGGGAGCAAACAUGUUAAUUUUUAGGCAUUAACAGUAUUAACUGUUGUCACUUUUGCCAACCCUUCUGGCAUUUGGGACAUGUGAAUCGAAUCUAAUUACAGAGUGACUGAAGCUGCUGAUACUGUGUGAGAAAGUCUUGUUUAAAAACAUUCUUGAUGUCUGGUAAAAUGUACAUUUUUCAAAACAAAAUCAAUGGAGGUCUAUUCCCAUAAAGAGAUGUGAGGACCACAGUUGACUCACAUAUGAGCUUGAUUUUCCUUUGGCAUAUCUUAUUUCCACAAACGGGCAAUGUCAUUGAUUUGAAAACCACCCUUCUGCAUGUCCUUCCCUGUUCCCAAGGGCCUGAUAGGAAUAGCAGAACUUCUCGGAUGUGGUAAGAACUCCAAAAAAAGGCUCUGCUACAUCUUGAGGAAUAUUACUCUGGAAUUUGGGACUGUCUGGAAAGUUGCUGCAGCCCCAGUAAAUGUUGAGAUAUUAACUAUAAUUUAUUCCACCUGUUUUGCUGAGGAUUAUGUUAACUUUGGCUAAUUGUUGAGGAGAAUAUUUUGAAUUUUGUUGCAUGCGUGGCAAAAUAAUUUUUGAGACAUUGGUUUUUUGUUUGUUUUUAAUGUAAGAAUUCCAUCUUAUUUCCAAGCAGUUGGCCGCUUUGGGGGGGGGUUUUCUACGACGUAGGAAGUGGUAGCAGGGUUGCACCGCUAUGUUGGAAGCAGGGUGAUGGCCGUGGAAACAGGAAGGCAGAAUAGACAGUCUGGACCAAUUUUUGUCUAUGGCUCUUGGCUUUUGCCUUGUUUUCUUAAAGCUGGUCUUAGGGUUACAUUUGCUCCUUCCUUUGGCAUGCUUCCUCCUUGGGCUCAUCCUUCUAUGGAUUUUUAAAGUGAUAAGAGAACAACCAUUAAAAAUAGGUGCAUGCAGGAACAGGGCUGAGGUGGUACCCUGAGUUAUUUUAGCUUAAGUGUUGUGGAACAAAGCAUUAAAGUCAUGCAAUGUAAUUCUGUGUGUCCUUGUGUUUUGUGUGCGUGACUCCCCGAAGGUCCGUUGGGAGGUGGCUGUAGAUACUAUAAUAACGGGUUGGGACUAGGAUUCAGAAUCCUGGUCAUCCCUGUCUGUGUUCAUCAUGGAGCGUGAAAAGUGCACCCUCCUAUCCCCUCUCCCACAGCGACCAUCGAGAUGGCAGACAAACCAACAACCACAAACAGACCAAACCCCAGAAAACACAACUAAGGCUGCAGUCAGUGAUUGAUGUCUGCUACAAGUUCCAACCAGGUCAGAAUUAUUUCUCAGCAGAGCUUCGGACUUGCCUGGGUUUCUGAUUCUGAACUUACCUAGCCUACUGUGGUCUACCUAUUAGUUACCUUAUCCAGCAUCACGUGACCAUUUAAUUACCUCUCCGGUUGUUUCCAGGGACUCUGUUCACUGUGGUGCCUACUCAUAGAAGGUAAGGCUUAACUUAGGAGUAAUCCAGACCCCACUGCAUAGAAUACAAUCCCUGUUAAGGUGUAAAGGACUGAUUUUAUAUUGUGUUUCUGCACACACACACAUAUAUAUCAUGGUACACUUACUUAUAAUGAUAUUAUAUUAUAUUUCUGGCAGUUGCACCUAAAAGGGGGGGAAAGAGAGAUUCGAGUCAAGGGAUAAUGGGGAGAAGAUGGUAGAGAGCAUGCUUUCGCUGGCGGGGGAGAGGGGUGAAGGGUGUUAAAGCCACAUCUGUCCUGAUUCAUGCUGCUGCUUCCCUCCAGCCCUGCCUGGCAUGACUCGGGACUGGCUAAAUCAUUUAUUCAUUUUCAUCAAGUGUCCUGGUAUUAAUGACUGUGCCCAUGUCCCAGCUUACACUUUUAUUCCAAACUGCCCCAGUUUCUAUCCUUUAGCUCAUGUUGAAACAUAUUUGGUCUUUACAACCUGAGGUAGAUCUUCCCACUGAGGUUAAUUCUUUACUACUGCUGGCUAGGUAUUUAGAUCUAGAAAGAGAGAGAGGUUAGCAAUGAGAUCCUGCUGGGGAGCACUGGGAACUGUGUCUAGUCACUUAUGGUGGAGCAUGAUACUGUGAGAAAAAACACUAUAUACAUGUAUGUGUAACUGGGUCACCAUGUUGUACAGUGGAAAGAAAAUAAUGUAUUGGGGAAAUUAAAAAAAAAUAGAGAUAGAGAUAUCCCUUGCUUCUAAAUGGACUUUAGAUACUAAAGGUAAAUCUGUGACAGAACUCAGCUCCUCAUGGAAUAUGCCUUUAGUGGCAGAAUUUGGGAGGUGUCUUUUCUGGCUGCUGGUGUAGAGGGCUUGCCGUUUGUCAGCUGUCCAAAGACGGACACCUUAAUGCAGCUCACUUAAGAGUGAUGUGUGAAUCACAGGGACGAACUAUUAUUAACUGACAGGGGUUAAGACGGUAAAUUUUAUGUUAUGCGUGUUUUGCCACAAUUAAAUAGUCCCCGAUCACACAGCUUUUUUCCCCCCAGUUGCAUAUCAAGGUAAGGACACUUGCUGUCCUCCUUCAGAGCUGUUCCCACUGACCCUAAUGCCAGUUCUUGCCCUCUCUCUCCUUUCAUAUCAAUUUCCCAUCCAUGGUCCUCAGCUCAUGAAGUCCUGCAUCUCCAAGGGCCCAAGUUCUCUUUCUAGGGGUUGGAAGACAGAGUGGGUGGAAGCUGAAAGAGAGACAAAAAGAGAUACGUGUUCCCGGUGUUACACAGCAGGAUCUCAUUGCUUUUCCACUCCAAAUGCAGCACUUUGCAUCUAUUAACCUCAGAUUCCCAGUCCAUUAACCCCAGAUUUCCAGCCCAUCCCACUCCCUCCCUCUUCCUGUGAUGAAGCAUGAUAAUGGGAGAAAAAGAAUGUGUCUAUGUGUGUGUGACGGGGUCACUUUGCUGUACAGCAGAAAAUUAACAGAACACUGUAAACCAGCUAUAGUGGAAAAAAAAUCAUUUUAAAAAAAGAAAAAAAAAAGAGACAUACAUGUUGUGGAAAUAGGUACCUUCAAAGUCCCUUUCCAGUCUUGGUCCUACUUUCUCACUCUUUCUCAGUAAGGGGAUCUCAGUGAUGAGUUUUGAGUGGAAACAUUGGCAUCAAAGUCCUGGGUGAAACUGUACCAUCCUCCUACUUAAGCCCGAACUGCCUAGGCUUGGGAGAAGAUACUGGUGGGUACAUUAAAACUCGGGGCGAGUCAGCGAGAUAACCUUUAAAGUUCUUUCAACCUCUGAGCCUCUAUUAUUCCCUCCAAUAUACUUAUCUUUUAUUAUUAUAAACAUAGGCUUUUGUGACAUGUUCACUCUAGAUGCCUCUGCUGACAUUUUUUUUUCUAAAUGUCAUACUCUGUAUUAUCAAUUAUGUAUGAAGUUCAUAUUAUUUAUAUGUUGGAAAAUUUAUCCAGAGUAAGACGGUUUUGAAUAUUUUUGAGAUUUUGGAGCAUGAUUUAUGUAAAUACCAAACAGCAUUGGCUAUGGCGCCUUCCCUUUUCUGCACGAUUUUCUGAUUCUAAAAGUGAGAGACCAUUGCUUGUAUUUCACAGUGAAUGAAGUCUGAGUUUUGGUAUCAGUAAGCCAUUUAGGGACAAACAGCUCUUCCCCCAAAUUUUCCUUUUUUUUUAAACACCUUAAUUUAUUAGUAAAGCUCAUACUGGAUGAGCUUUCCCCUGAUUUACUGCAUAAAACUAAGUGGGACAUUCACACUGAGCCCAGAGACCACAGCAGCCUCUGGUGUCUGUGGAUGGAGAUGAUUUCCUGGAGACGAAGAUGUCCUCAUGAGUAUUGUCAAUUCUUCAUUUCCUUCCCUGGCAAAAAAAAAAAAAAA